RNAcentral lists this ribosomal RNA (407 nucleotides) under uncultured bacterium. Its description in RNAcentral is "bacterial SSU rRNA". It matches the Rfam family "Bacterial small subunit ribosomal RNA", at positions 355 to 776 of the family's 1533-position model. The record is from RNAcentral.
UGGGGAAUAUUGCACAAUGGGGGAAACCCUGAUGCAGCAACGCCGCGUGAGGGAAGAAGGUUUUCGGAUUGUAAACCUCUGUCCCUGGUGACGAAGACAGUGACGGUAACCAGGGAGGAAGCCACGGCUAACUACGUGCCAGCAGCCGCGGUAAUACGUAGGUGGCAAGCGUUGUCCGGAUUUACUGGGUAUAAAGGGAGCGCAGGCGGGAGAGCAAGUCAGCGGUGAAAUACAUGGGCUUAACCCAUGAACUGCCGUUGAAACUGUUUUUCUUGAGUGAAGUAGAGGCAGGCGGAAUUCCGAGUGUAGCGGUGAAAUGCGUAGAUAUUCGGAGGAACACCAGUGGCGAAGGCGGCCUGCUGGGCUUUUACUGACGCUGAGGCUCGAAAGCGUGGGGAGCAAACAGG